CGCGAGUGAAGCGGGCGAGCUCAACCUGAAAAUCGGAUAUCCAAGCGGGUGUUCGAAUUGUGGGCUAGAGACGCGUGAUCAGUGUGUGACCUAGGUAUAAAUCUUUUGAAACAAGGUAUCACAGAGGGUGAGAAUCCCGUCUUUGACCUAGAGUUUUCGCCACGUACGAUCCGUGUUCACAGAGUCGAGUUGUUUGGGAUUGCAGCUCUAAUUGGGUGGUAAAUUUCAUCUAAAGCUAAAUAUCGACGAGAGACCGAUAGCGAACAAGUACCGUGAGGGAAAGAUGAAAAGAACUUUGAAAAGAGAGUUAAAAAGUACUUGAAAUUGCUAAGAGGGAAGCACUGGAAACCAGUCGUUGAUCUGCGUAUAUUUUUACCAUUCGCUCCCGGAUUGCGCUAUUUGUUCAGAGCCCAAAGCCUGACUGGUGGUGUAUGAUGGUGUGAGUGGGUCCUGUAUUGUAGAUCGGAUCAGAAUCAAUUUGGCUCGUGAGAGAAAGCUAUGGCAACGGUAGUUCUGUUUGGAGCAAUCCUUAUGGAAUGUUUAGUGCUGUAGUGCUAUCAUGGGCUGGAUUGAGGUACAAUCGUUAAUGCGCACCACUAGGUUAUCGAUUCCCUGACCCUGACGCAUCAUGAGACGUGAACAAUAAAAUUGUGCUGUUUCAAAAGUGUGUUACUGGAAAGGAUGAAUUAGAUGCAGCAUUCGAGAUUCUGAUGAAAUGGUUUUCAUUGACCCGUCUUGAAACACGGACCAAGGAGUCUAACAUAUAUGCGAGUAUUUGGGCCUGGAAACCCUUAUGCGCAAUGAAAGUGAAGGUUGUCGUAUGACUUCUGAGGUAGGAAUCUGCGGUCUCGGCUGCAGAGGCACUAUCGACCGAUCAGUCACUUGUGGCAGAUUUGAGUAUGAGCAUAUCUGUUGGGACCCGAAAGAUGGUGAUCUAUGCCUGAACAGGGCGAAGCCAGGGGAAACUCUGGUGGAGGCUCGUAGCGAUACUGACGUGCAAAUCGUUCGUCUGAUUUGGGUAUAGGGGCGAAAGACUAAUCGAACCAUCUAGUAGCUGGUUCCCUCCGAAGUUUCCCUUAGGAUAGCAGGAACUUAUACAGUUUUAUCAGGUAAAGCUAAUGAUUAGAGGUCCUAGAGUUGAAACAACUUUAACCUAUUCUCAAACUUUAAAUAGGUAAGAAGCCUUGGGUUACUUAAAUGAACCCGGGCCUCGAAUGGAAGUUCUUAGUGGGCCAUUUUUGGUAAGCAGAACUGGCGAUGCGGGAUGAACCGGACGCUGACUUAAAGUGCCUAAGUGUUCGCUCAUCAGAUCCCACAAAAGGUGUUGGUUCAUU
RNAcentral lists this ribosomal RNA (1334 nucleotides) under Cercomonas sp. HFCC52. Its description in RNAcentral is "eukaryotic LSU rRNA". It matches the Rfam family "Eukaryotic large subunit ribosomal RNA", at positions 88 to 1233 of the family's 3401-position model. The record is from RNAcentral. Lineage: Eukaryota; Cercozoa; Cercomonadida; Cercomonadidae.